RNAcentral lists this ribosomal RNA (733 nucleotides) under uncultured eukaryote. RNAcentral describes it as "SSU rRNA". It matches the Rfam family "Eukaryotic small subunit ribosomal RNA", at positions 557 to 1295 of the family's 1831-position model. The record is from RNAcentral.
UAGUCUGGUGCCAGCAGCCGCGGUAAUUCCAGCUCCAAUAGCGUAUAUUAAAGUUGUUGCAGUUAAAACGCUCGUAGUCGGAUUUCGGGGCAGGUUUGCCGGUCUGCCGAUGGGUAUGCACUGGUAGAACUGUCCUUCCUUCCGGAGACGGCGCCUACUCUUAACUGAGCGGGUGUCGGAGACGGAUCGUUUACUUUGAAAAAAUCAGAGUGUUUCAAGCAGGCAGCUCGCUUUUGCAUGGAUUAGCAUGGGAUAAUGAAAUAGGACUUUGGUGCUAUUUUGUUGGUUUCGAACACCGAAGUAAUGAUUAACAGGGACAGUCAGGGGCACUCGUAUUCCGCCGAGAGAGGUGAAAUUCUUAGACCAGCGGAAGACGGACCACUGCGAAAGCAUUUGCCAGGGAUGUUUUCACUGAUCAAGAACGAAAGUUAGGGGAUCGAAGACGAUCAGAUACCGUCGUAGUCUUAACCAUAAACCAUGCCGACUAGGGAUUGGAGGAUGUUCCUAUGUGACUCCUUCAGCACCUUUCGGGAAACUAAAGUCUUUGGGUUCCGGGGGGAGUAUGGUCGCAAGGCUGAAACUUAAAGGAAUUGACGGAAGGGCACCACCAGGAGUGGAGCCUGCGGCUUAAUUUGACUCAACACGGGGAAACUUACCAGGUCCAGACAUUGUGAGGAUUGACAGAUUGAGAGCUCUUUCUUGAUUCGAUGGGUGGUGGUGCAUGGCCGUUCUU